This 468-nucleotide ribosomal RNA is filed under the name uncultured bacterium. RNAcentral's name for it is "partial 16S ribosomal RNA". It matches the Rfam family "Bacterial small subunit ribosomal RNA", at positions 28 to 507 of the family's 1533-position model. The record is from RNAcentral.
GACGAACGCUGGCGGCGUGCUUAACACAUGCAAGUCGAACGGAAAGGCCCUGCUUUUGUGGGGUGCUCGAGUGGCGAACGGGUGAGUAACACGUGAGUAACCUGCCCUUGACUUUGGGAUAAGUUCAGGAAACUGGGGCUAAUACCGGAUAGGAGCUCCUGCUGCAUGGCGGGGGUUGGAAAGUUUCGGCGGUUGGGGAUGGACUCGCGUGUUAUCAGCUUGUUGGGGGGGUAGUGUCUUACCAAGGCUUUGACGGGUAGCCGGUCUGAGAGGGUGACGGGCCACAGUGGGACUGAUAUACGGCCGAGACUCCUACGGGGGACAGCAGGGGGGAAUAUUGCACAAGGGGCGGAAGUCUGAUGCAGCAACCCCGCGUGCGGGAUGACGGCCUUCGUGGUGUAAACCGCUUUCGCGUGUGACGAAGCUUGAGUGACGGUAAUGGGUAAAGAAGCACCGGCUAACUACGUG